RNAcentral lists this long non-coding RNA (413 nucleotides) under Setaria viridis. Its description in RNAcentral is "long non-coding RNA (SVIR_LNC011305)". The record is from RNAcentral. Lineage: Eukaryota; Viridiplantae; Streptophyta; Magnoliopsida; Poales; Poaceae.
UGACGGGUGCUAAAUAAGUCAGUGGAAGAAAACGGGGCCAUAAUUUGGAAUGGAGGAAGCAGGACGGAAGAUGAAGUCAAGUACUAGUAGGGAUUAAAAAAGUUACGCUGGCAUGAGAGGAACACGAACCUAACAUUGGAAUCGCUUAAUAACUAAAGAAAAGCUUGGAAUAUCAUGCCAUUUUACUGUACUUAUCUCCAGCUGAAAUAUAAUAAUCAUAAGUUAAGUACUAGUAUUGUCAAAAAGAUAUAACAAUAAUAAGUUUGGUGCCUUGUAUGCGUGCGGGUAAUGAUACUCGUGGAAAAAACUGUGCCUGCCGUGCCGGCACGAGCUACGGCCAAACGUCAAACCACGAAGCAGACGGCCAAGUUUGGAUGUAAACGAUAGCGCCAAGCUGUUCAAAGAGUAGCCUU